AUUCUAGAGCAAGAAACUGAUGAGACUAUUCAAGUCAUGGAAACUUUAAUAGAGAUUGAAGAAAAUCAAGUUAUUUCUAUUGAUUUGAAGAGCCUUUCAACUGUAAUCCAUUUGAUUUUGUUUGUCCAGAUCCUUUUAGAGAUGCAAAGGAAAACAUGAAGUGCUUGAUUUUUAGCUUCUUGCUACCAUACAAGAAUAAAAAGUUGAUUGCUCUCCUAAUGUAGUUUCUGAUUGUUACACUUCAAGACUCGAGGAUGUGUUUUUUCCAACCAGGGGAGAAGAAUGCAAAAUAAGAAUAUGAUAUU
RNAcentral lists this unclassified non-coding RNA (305 nucleotides) under Hevea brasiliensis (rubber tree). Lineage: Eukaryota; Viridiplantae; Streptophyta; Magnoliopsida; Malpighiales; Euphorbiaceae. The record is from RNAcentral.